Molecule: ribosomal RNA, 251 nt
Filed under: uncultured bacterium
Lineage: Bacteria
Description: partial 16S ribosomal RNA
Rfam family: Bacterial small subunit ribosomal RNA
Source: RNAcentral
GACAGAGGUGCCAAGCGUUAGGCGGAAUCACUGGGCUUAAAGCGUGUGUAGGCGGAUUCCUAAGUACCUUGUGAAAUCCCACGGCUCAACCGUGGAACUGCUCGGUAUACUGGGUAUCUUGAGCCACUUAGGGGCGACCGGAACAAAUGGUGGAGCGGUGAAAUGCGCAGAUAUCAUUUGGAACGCCAAUGGUGAAAACAGGUCGCUGGGAGUGUGCUGACGCUGAGACAGAAGCCAGGGGAGCAAACGGG